GACGAACGCUGGCGGCGCGCCUAACACAUGCAAGUCGAACGAGCGAGAGAGAGCUUGCUUUCUUGAGCGAGUGGCGAACGGGUGAGUAACGCGUGAGGAACCUGCCUCAAAGAGGGGGACAUCAGUUUGAAACGACUGCUAAUACCGCAUAAGCCCACGGUGCCGUAUGGCACCGAGGGAAAAGGAACAAUCCGCUUUGAGAUGGCCUCGCGUCCGAUUAGCUAGUUGGUGAGGUAACGGCCCACCAAGGCGACGAUCGGUAGCCGGACUGAGAGGUUGAACGGCCACAUUGGGACUGAGACACGGCCCAGACUCCUACGGGAGGCAGCAGUGGGGAAUAUUGCACAAUGGGGGAAACCCUGAUGCAGCGACGCCGCGUGAAGGAAGAAGGUCUUAGGAUUGUAAACUCCUGUUGUUGGGGAAGAUAAUGACGGUACCAAACAAGGAAGUGACGGCUAACUACGUG
Molecule: ribosomal RNA, 466 nt
Filed under: uncultured bacterium
Lineage: Bacteria
Description: partial 16S ribosomal RNA
Rfam family: Bacterial small subunit ribosomal RNA
Source: RNAcentral